Molecule: ribosomal RNA, 469 nt
Filed under: Hoylesella oralis
Lineage: Bacteria; Pseudomonadati; Bacteroidota; Bacteroidia; Bacteroidales; Prevotellaceae
Description: bacterial SSU rRNA
Rfam family: Bacterial small subunit ribosomal RNA
Source: RNAcentral
GAUGAACGCUAGCUACAGGCUUAACACAUGCAAGUCGCGGGGCAUCAUGGAGGUUGCUUGCAAUUUCUGAUGGCGACCGGCGCACGGGUGAGUAACGCGUAUCCAACCUUCCCAUUACUACGGCAUACCCCGUUGAAAGGCGGCCUAAUUCCGUAUGCAGUCCGAAGCAGUCAUCUAAUUUGGACGAAAGGUAUAUUCUAUCGGUAAUGGAUGGGGAUGCGUCCGAUUAGCCAGCCGGCGGGGUAACGGCCCACUGGGGCAUUGAUCGGUAGGGGUUCUGAGAGGAAGGUCCCCCACACUGGAACUGAGACACGGUCCAGACUCCUACGGGAGGCAGCAGUGAGGAAUAUUGGUCAAUGGGCGUAAGCCUGAACCAGCCAAGUAGCGUGCAGGAUGACGGCCCUAUGGGUUGUAAACUGCUUUUAUGCGGGGAUAAAGUUGGGGACGUGUCCCUUUUGCAGGUACCGCA